RNAcentral lists this ribosomal RNA (182 nucleotides) under uncultured Eubacteriales bacterium. RNAcentral describes it as "uncultured Clostridiales bacterium partial 16S ribosomal RNA". It matches the Rfam family "Bacterial small subunit ribosomal RNA", at positions 152 to 334 of the family's 1533-position model. The record is from RNAcentral. Lineage: Bacteria; Bacillati; Bacillota; Clostridia; Eubacteriales.
GGAAACGAAGAAUAAUACCCUAUAAAACCAUAAAAGCACAUGCUAGAAUGGUCAAAGUGAUAGCGGUGUAAGAUGGACUUGCGUCUGAUUAGCUAGUUGGUGAGAUAAAAGCUCACCAAGGCAACGAUCAGUAGCCGGCUUGAGAGAGUGUACGGCCACAUUGGGACUGAGACACGGCCCAG